This 402-nucleotide ribosomal RNA is filed under the name Verrucomicrobiota bacterium. RNAcentral's name for it is "Verrucomicrobia bacterium partial 16S ribosomal RNA". It matches the Rfam family "Bacterial small subunit ribosomal RNA", at positions 355 to 776 of the family's 1533-position model. The record is from RNAcentral. Lineage: Bacteria; Pseudomonadati; Verrucomicrobiota.
UGGGGAAUAUUGCACAAUGGGGGAAACCCUGAUGCAGCGACGCCGCGUGAGCGAAGAAGGUUUUCGAAUCGUAAAGCUCUGUCCUAUGAGAAGAUAAUGACGGUAUCAUAGGAGGAAGCCCCGGCUAAAUACGUGCCAGCAGCCGCGGUAAUACGUAUGGGGCGAGCGUUGUCCGGAAUUAUUGGGCGUAAAGGUACGUAGGCGGUCUAUUAAGUCAGGUGUGAAAGCGUGAGGCUUAAACUCAUUAAGCACUUGAAACUGAUAGACUUGAGUGAAGGAGAGGAAAGUGGAAUUCCUAGUGUAGCGGUGAAAUGCGUAGAUAUUAGGAGGAAUACCGGUGGCGAAGGCGACUUUCUGGACUUUUACUGACGCUCAGGUACGAAAGCGUGGGGAGCAAACAGG